Molecule: long non-coding RNA, 567 nt
Organism: Octopus sinensis (East Asian common octopus)
Lineage: Eukaryota; Metazoa; Mollusca; Cephalopoda; Octopoda; Octopodidae
Exons: 2
Source: RefSeq, a predicted model, not a curated record
UUAAGGCGGCGAGCUGGCAGAAUCGUUAGCACGCCUGGUGAAAUGUUUAGCAGUAUUUCGUCUGCCGCUAUGUUCUGAGUUCAAAUUCAGAAAUGAUCGCAUCAUGGGGCACUUCAAUCUCAUUUUUGAUUGGUCAUUGGUUUAGCCAAUCAACUUAAAGAAAUAAAAUGAACGGUUUGUUGAAAUGAUCCGGACGAGAGAUCAAAGAUUUUUGUAGCUUAGGAUCAAGUUUUACUUGGCUAGCAAGGAGCUGUCCUGACAUCAUGUCAAACCCAUGCCAGCAUGGAAAGCGGACGUCAAACGACGAGGAUGUCUCCUCAUACAUCUAGAAAUACUUUGCAGGUUUGUAUGUUGUUUUAUUAUUCUAUGCUUUUGUAUUCGAUUUAAGCCAUUCCUAAAUAACAACACCAACACUAAUGUCACUUUAUACAAGUACACAAACGCACACACAACAUAACAAGAAGCAAAUUUAACUUUAUAAACCCAAACAAUACAGGCAAAUGGCUUUUCUGCAAUAAAGUUAAUAUUGUAUCAAUAUUGAAGGAAAUAAAGAAUAUUCUAUCACGU